Molecule: non-coding RNA, 504 nt
Filed under: Pongo abelii (Sumatran orangutan)
Lineage: Eukaryota; Metazoa; Chordata; Mammalia; Primates; Hominidae
Source: RNAcentral
UGAGGCAGGAGAACUGCUUAGAACCUGAGAGGCGGAGGUUGUAGUGAGCCAAGAUCGUGCCACCGCACUCCAGCCUGGCAAUAGAGUGAAACUCUGUCUCAAAAAAAAAAAAAAAAAAAAAAAAAAGCAUGUAGGAGAUUGACCUGGGUCAAUUCUUUUUUCUUUUUGUCCCCUUUCCUCAGGUGUUCUGAAGGUUGGAAAUACGACUCUACCAUUACCUAACAGUUAUUUCUUCUUCUUUCCUAGUUAAUAGAACCUGAUUUCAUUUGGGCCACAACAUGUACAAAGAAGGAAUACGUGUCCCCAGGCCUCAGAGAAAAGUCAUGAUUGGUUGAAGCCUAGCCCAUUCCCCUGCUAGGGAUUGCUUCUGAACUCAGCAUAGGGCCAAUUAUGGCCAAUGAGAUGGAAAAGUCUGGAAGCAGGCUUUUGGAAAGAUUCUUGUAGCCUAGUUAAAAUCCCAGAGAGGAAAAAGCCUUGUGUUGACAAGCUUAAGAGUGAAAAACC